AACGAACGCUGGCGGCAGGCCUAACACAUGCAAGUCGAACGGAACCUUCGGGUUUAGUGGCGCACGGGUGAGGAACACGUGGGAAUGUACCCCUUGGUAAGGAAUAAUGUCUGGAAACGGACACUAAUACCUUAUAAUGACUUCGGUCCAAAGAUUUAUCGCCAAGGGAUCAGCCCGCGCAUGAUUAGAUAGUUGGUGAGGUAAUGGCUCACCAAGUCUGCGAUCAUUAGCUGGUCUGAGAGGAUGAUCAGCCACACUGGAACUGAGACACGGUCCAG
Molecule: ribosomal RNA, 278 nt
Filed under: uncultured bacterium
Lineage: Bacteria
Description: partial 16S ribosomal RNA
Rfam family: Bacterial small subunit ribosomal RNA
Source: RNAcentral